This 254-nucleotide ribosomal RNA is filed under the name uncultured bacterium. RNAcentral describes it as "partial 16S ribosomal RNA". It matches the Rfam family "Bacterial small subunit ribosomal RNA", at positions 524 to 776 of the family's 1533-position model. The record is from RNAcentral.
UACGGGGGGCGCAAGCGUUGUUCGGAUUUACUGGGCGUAAAGGGCGCGUAGGCGGCCAGCACAAGUCAGUUGUGAAAUCUCCGGGCUUAACUCGGAAAGGUCAACUGAUACUGUGCGGCUAGAGUGCAGAAGGGGCAACUGGAAUUCUCGGUGUAGCGGUGAAAUGCGUAGAUAUCGAGAGGAACACCUGCGGCGAAGGCGGGUUGCUGGGCUGACACUGACGCUGAUGCGCGAAAGCCAGGGGAGCGAACGGG